AUGAUCCUCGGAAAUGGUGUUCCUGAUGCCCCAGCCCCUCCACCACCCCUCGACUCAAGGCCUGUGCUAGAUCCUAGGGAUUUCCAGAAUAAAUGGAGCCAACUAGCAUUAUCUGUUUCUCAGGAAUGCUCUUUAACUCCACAAGGGGCAGCUUCUUUGAUGAAUCCCCAAUCGCUCAUUCGUCAUAUGCAAAGCAACUACAUUCAAUGCGUUGCUUCAGGCAGUCAGCCUCCAAACUGCAAGUUCUUCUUUUAUGGUCAGAAACCCGGGGCUGCUGAUUUCUACCUUGUAGAGUGCACUGUGAACACAGCAUCACCGAAGGCCAAGCUCAAAAUUAAGGCCGACGAUGGGGCUACCGCUGAGGCCUUUUGUACUUUAUUUCAGUCAGUAUUGUCUGAAUUUGGGCUUUCUUGA
Molecule: ribosomal RNA, 414 nt
Filed under: Triticum aestivum (bread wheat)
Lineage: Eukaryota; Viridiplantae; Streptophyta; Magnoliopsida; Poales; Poaceae
Description: partial small subunit ribosomal RNA
Source: RNAcentral